UUACUCACCGUGCAGCUCAAGCAGCACGAGAGUGGCCUGUGACGUGGAGGCAGAUGGCGUCCGAGAGAGACUCUCAGAGCAACACUACAACAGACUUGUGUUCUGCAUCACAAAGACAUCUUGUCACCUGGUCCCCAGCUGCUCUUCCACACAAACACCACGCCCUGUGGUGGCUGUGGAACCUCCCCUCUCCACUGUUAAGACACACCAUUACCUGGUUAAUCCACAUUUUGCUCAGGUCUUCAUUAGUAAAUUUACCAUGGUGAAAAAUAAAGCCC
This 278-nucleotide long non-coding RNA is filed under the name Homo sapiens (human). RNAcentral describes it as "non-protein coding lnc-PIMREG-1:1". Lineage: Eukaryota; Metazoa; Chordata; Mammalia; Primates; Hominidae. The record is from RNAcentral.